UUGCCGGCGCUGCCUAUACAUGCAGUAGAACGCUGGAAAUCUUUAGCUUGCUACAAGUUUAGAAUGUAGUUGCGAACGGGUGAGUAACGCGUAGGUAACCUGCCUACUAGCGGGGGAUAACUAUUGGAAACGAUAGCUAAUACCGCAUAACAGCAUUUAACCCAUGUUAGAUGCUUGAAAGGAGCAAUUGCUUCACUAGUAGAUGGACCUGCGUUGUAUUAGCUAGUUGGUGAGGUAACGGCUCACCAAGGCGACGAUACAUAGCCGACCUGAGAGGGUGAUCGGCCACACUGGGACUGAGACACGGCCCAGACUCCUACGGGAGGCAGCAGUAGGGAAUCUUCGGCAAUGGGGGCAACCCUGACCGAGCAACGCCGCGUGAGUGAAGAAGGUUUUCGGAUCGUAAAGCUCUGUUGUAAGAGAAGAACGUGUGUGAGAGUGGAAAGUUCACACAGUGACGGUAACUUACCAGAAAGGGACGGCUAACUACGUGCCAGCAGCCGCGGUAAUACGUAGGUCCCGAGCGUUGUCCGGAUUUAUUGGGCGUAAAGCGAGCGCAGGCGGUUUAAUAAGUCUGAAGUUAAAGGCAGUGGCUUAACCAUUGUUCGCUUUGGAAACUGUUAGACUUGAGUGCAGAAGGGGAGAGUGGAAUUCCAUGUGUAGCGGUGAAAUGCGUAGAUAUAUGGAGGAACACCGGUGGCGAAAGCGGCUCUCUGGUCUGUAACUGACGCUGAGGCUCGAAAGCGUGGGGAGCAAACAGGAUUAGAUACCCUGGUAGUCCACGCCGUACACGAUGAGUGCUAGGUGUUAGGCCCUUUCCGGGGCUUAGUGCCGCAGCUAACGCAUUAAGCACUCCGCCUGGGGAGUACGACCGCAAGGUUGAAACUCAAACGAAUUGACGGGGGCCCGCACAACCGAUGGAGCAUGUGGUUUAAUUCGUAGCAACGCGAAGAACCUUAACAAGUCUUGACAUCCCGAUGCUACUUCUAGAAAUCGGAAGUUUCUGCGGAACAUCGGUGACCGGUGGUGCAAGGUGGUCCUCGGCUCGUGUCGUGACAUGUCGCGUAAGUCCGGUACUAUCGCAACACUAUUGUUACUGCCACAUUAGUUGGGCACUCAGUGGGACGCCCGCAAAAACCGCAGAAAGAAAGAAGAAGCCGGGGGCAGCCCCUAAUGACUGGGCCCAUUAAGGCCGCAAGGGGGGCCAACAAGCUGGGGGGGGAAAGGGGGGGGGGGGGGAGGGGAUCCAAUCCAAAUAAGGGGGGACGGCGGGUUGGAGCCGAACCGCAAUUCGGAAUCAAACGGGGGGAAGGUAACGGCCUGGGAAAAACCCCUCCCCCGCAAUGUACCCCCGAAAGGGGGAAAUUUUCACACCCCUUGGGGUAAAUAAAGGGAGCCCUGGGGUUUUGGGGUUAGGCCCCGCCCCGCCCCCCGGCAAAACAAAAAGGAAAGAAAAAAAAAAAAAAACCAGAAAAAAAAAGAGCCCGGCCCCAAAGUUACAGGGCACCCCGGUUCCCAGUGGGGCCC
This 1527-nucleotide ribosomal RNA is filed under the name Streptococcus sp. Its description in RNAcentral is "bacterial SSU rRNA". It matches the Rfam family "Bacterial small subunit ribosomal RNA", at positions 36 to 1306 of the family's 1533-position model. Lineage: Bacteria; Bacillati; Bacillota; Bacilli; Lactobacillales; Streptococcaceae. The record is from RNAcentral.